GCGAUUAUUAUAAAUUUAAUAUUAUAUCAAAACAAGUUUAAUAACUCUUAAAUUAAAUAUUAUCUUUUACUUUCCUAAGAACAAUAAAAUAAUAUUUUACCCUUAUUAUCUACCUUAUACAAAGUGAUGCCAUUUCUUCUUUCUUUGCAACUUAUAUCAUACAGAAAAUACUAAAAUAAGAGGCACUUUCACCAUUCUCUGUCUCUAUUCCCUCUUAAUUACAUCUCUACCAUUUUUACCUCUAUUAAUUACUUCACUUUUUUUGGUUUUU
Molecule: unclassified non-coding RNA, 271 nt
Filed under: Hevea brasiliensis (rubber tree)
Lineage: Eukaryota; Viridiplantae; Streptophyta; Magnoliopsida; Malpighiales; Euphorbiaceae
Source: RNAcentral